AUCUCAUUUUGUUUAUGAUCUCCAACAGUCAUAAUGCUCUUGUUUUACCUCAGCGCUUUGGCUAUUCUUACAGCAAGAGUUUUUGCGAAUGCAAUAACACGCAUCUCUUCUGAAAAUCAUGCAUUUGAAGGAGGAAAAGUGACUAUUUCAUGCAACUACAGCGGAAAUGAUAUAAGAAGUUGGCAGUGGUACAGACAGUAUCCCAACUCUACCCCUGAAUUUCUCUUACAAGCUUUGGAAACUCUGGAUCCAGAGCAGAAGGACCGUCAUCUUGCUAAAGCACAAAAGGCCAAAAAACAUCUGACCCUGGAGAUCUCCAAAACUGAAGUAGAAGAUGCUGCAGUAUACUACUGUGCCCUGGUGCACAGUAACAGAAAACCCUUCAACACUACAUUAUUUAUCAGAGAAUAUGAAGACUCAGAGGGUGGAGCUCUUUUGCUAAGUUGGGGAUUCAAAGUCUUCUUUCACUGA
Carassius auratus (goldfish) is the source of this 471-nucleotide non-coding RNA. NCBI's taxonomy places the organism in Eukaryota, Metazoa, Chordata, Actinopteri, Cypriniformes, Cyprinidae. The record is from the annotation of a RefSeq genome assembly.